UACAGAGGUCCCAAGCGUUUGUUCGGAUUCAUUGGGCGUAAAGGGUGUGUAGGUGGCGCCGUAAGUCGGGUGUGAAAUUUCGGAGCUUAACUCCGAACUGCAUUCGAUACUGCGGUGCUUGAGGACUGGAGAGGAGACUGGAAUUCAUGGUGUAGCAGUAGAAAUGCGUAGAGAUCAUGAGGAAGACCAGUGGCGAAGGCGGGUCUCUGGACAGUUCCUGACACUGAGACACGGAAGGCCAGGGGAGCAAACGGG
RNAcentral lists this ribosomal RNA (255 nucleotides) under uncultured bacterium. Its description in RNAcentral is "partial 16S ribosomal RNA". It matches the Rfam family "Bacterial small subunit ribosomal RNA", at positions 524 to 776 of the family's 1533-position model. The record is from RNAcentral.